AUGAGAGAGAGAGAAGUAAAGAAUGUAAGCUAUGUGUGAAAGAGGUAAGGAAUGAGAGAGAAGUAAAGAAUGUAAGCUAUGUGUGAAAGAGGUAAGGAAUGAGAGAGAAGUAAAGAAUGUAAGCUAUGUGUGAAAGAGGUAAGGAAUGAGAGAGAGAGAAGUAAAGAAUGUAAGCUAUGUGUGAAAGAGGUAAGGAAUGAGAGAGAAGACAAGUAAAGAAUGUAAGCUAUGUGUGAAAGAGGUAAGGAAUGAGAGAGAGAGAAGUAAAGAAUGUAAGCUAUGUGUGAAAGAGGUAAGGAAUGAGA
Aplysia californica (California sea hare) is the source of this 305-nucleotide long non-coding RNA. RefSeq lists it as uncharacterized. The transcript is spliced from 2 exons. The record is from RefSeq and is a predicted model, not a curated record. Lineage: Eukaryota; Metazoa; Mollusca; Gastropoda; Aplysiida; Aplysiidae.